ACCACAAUACAUCAUCUUGAAAGAUAAGAAAGCAAUAUCAAUUAAUUAAUUACAUAUAAAUUCCUAUAUUUUAUAGGGUUCAUUUGUGUGAGAGCAAUUAGCAGCGGCUGCAACACAACAACCAAAGUUGAAAAGACAAACAAAAAUGCGCAGCUAAAUGAGUCAUAAGUAAUUCAUGCCGGUGCGCCAUUGUUACCUUGAGCCUAUUUGAAGGCUACCCUUAAUAUUAAUUGUUAUCCCUUGCCUCUUGAAUAACGAUAUCAAGAGCAUUGCUCAAAAUUU
Molecule: long non-coding RNA, 282 nt
Filed under: Trifolium pratense (red clover)
Lineage: Eukaryota; Viridiplantae; Streptophyta; Magnoliopsida; Fabales; Fabaceae
Description: long non-coding RNA (TPRA_LNC003170)
Source: RNAcentral